RNAcentral lists this ribosomal RNA (168 nucleotides) under uncultured bacterium. Its description in RNAcentral is "partial 16S ribosomal RNA". It matches the Rfam family "Bacterial small subunit ribosomal RNA", at positions 1319 to 1500 of the family's 1533-position model. The record is from RNAcentral.
CGUGAAGUUGGAAUUGCUAGUAAUCGCGGAUCAGCAUGCCGCGGUGAAUACGCUCCCGGGCCUUGUACACACCGCCCGUCACACCAUGGGAGCCGGUAAUACCCGAAGCCCAUGUCAAAGUGGUCGAAGGUAGGCUUGAUGAUUGGGGUGAAGUCGUAACAAGGUAAC